This 592-nucleotide small RNA is filed under the name Pan troglodytes (chimpanzee). RNAcentral's name for it is "retained intron". The record is from RNAcentral. Lineage: Eukaryota; Metazoa; Chordata; Mammalia; Primates; Hominidae.
GGUUAAACGCUUACACAAUACCAUCGUAGAAAUCAAUAAUCAUAAACUCAAGGCCCAACAAGACAAACUUGAUAAAAUAAAUAAGCAAUUAGAUGAAUGUGCUUCUGCUAUUACUAAAGCCCAAGUAGCAAUCAAGACUGCUGACAGAAACCUUCAAAAGGCACAAGACUCUGUCUUGCGUACAGAGAAAGAAAUAAAAGAUACUGAGAAAGAGGUGGAUGACCUAACAGCAGAGCUGAAAAGUCUUGAGGACAAAGCAGCAGAGGUCAUAAAGAAUACAAAUGCUGCAGAGGUAUGAGUUGCUUUGUAUUGAAGAGGAGAUGGGAUGAUACUGGAACCAAUUUAAAGAGCUGGAUAUAUGACAGUGCCUAGAAUGUAGUAAGCACUCAUAGACUUAAAGUUUUAUAACUAUCAAUUUUUAUUUGUACAAUAAGAAUACUAUAAUUUGUGAAUUUAAAUGCUUAAAUUAUUUUAAAAUGGAAGGGGCAUGGGGAGAGAUUGGUAAUUCCUUCAUCUUUGUAAUGUGAAAAUGAUGGCUCUAUUUGGAAAAUUCUAUCUAGCAGUUCUUUUCGGUGUUUAGGAAUCCUUACCA